This 836-nucleotide ribosomal RNA is filed under the name Salmonella enterica subsp. enterica serovar Oranienburg. RNAcentral describes it as "partial 23S ribosomal RNA". It matches the Rfam family "Bacterial large subunit ribosomal RNA", at positions 711 to 1547 of the family's 2925-position model. Lineage: Bacteria; Pseudomonadati; Pseudomonadota; Gammaproteobacteria; Enterobacterales; Enterobacteriaceae. The record is from RNAcentral.
AGACCCGAAACCCGGUGAUCUAGCCAUGGGCAGGUUGAAGGUUGGGUAACACUAACUGGAGGACCGAACCGACUAAUGUUGAAAAAUUAGCGGAUGACCUGUGGCUGGGGGUGAAAGGCCAAUCAAACCGGGAGAUAGCUGGUUCUCCCCGAAAGCUAUUUAGGUAGCGCCUCGUGAAUUCAUCUCCGGGGGUAGAGCACUGUUUCGGCUAGGGGGCCAUCCCGGCUUACCAACCCGAUGCAAACUGCGAAUACCGGAGAAUGUUAUCACGGGAGACACACGGCGGGUGCUAACGUCCGUCGUGAAGAGGGAAACAACCCAGACCGCCAGCUAAGGUCCCAAAGUCAUGGUUAAGUGGGAAACGAUGUGGGAAGGCCCAGACAGCCAGGAUGUUGGCUUAGAAGCAGCCAUCAUUUAAAGAAAGCGUAAUAGCUCACUGGUCGAGUCGGCCUGCGCGGAAGAUGUAACGGGGCUAAACCAUGCACCGAAGCUGCGGCAGCGACACUCAGGUGUUGUUGGGUAGGGGAGCGUUCUGUAAGCCUGCGAAGGUGUGUCGUGAGGCAUGCUGGAGGUAUCAGAAGUGCGAAUGCUGACAUAAGUAACGAUAAAGCGGGUGAAAAGCCCGCUCGCCGGAAGACCAAGGGUUCCUGUCCAACGUUAAUCGGGGCAGGGUGAGUCGACCCCUAAGGCGAGGCCGAAAGGCGUAGUCGAUGGGAAACGGGUUAAUAUUCCCGUACUUGGUGUUACUGCGAAGGGGGGACGGAGAAGGCUAUGUUGGCCGGGCGACGGUUGUCCCGGUUUAAGCGUGUAGGUGUGUGUUCCAGGUAAAUCCGGUU